UAGGGAAUCUUCCGCAAUGGACGAAAGUCUGACGGAGCAACGCCGCGUGAGUGAAGAAGGAUUUCGGUUCGUAAAACUCUGUUGUUAGGGACGAAAAAAUGUAUAGUAACUAUAUACAAAAGAGACGGUACCUAACCAGAAAGCCACGGCUAACUACGUGCCAGCAGCCGCGGUAAUACGUAGGUGGCAAGCGUUGUCCGGAAUUAUUGGGCGUAAAGCGCGCGCAGGUGGUUUAGAAAGUCUGAUGUGAAAGCCCACGGCUCAACCGUGGAGGGUCAUUGGAAACUAAUAAACUUGAGUGCAGGAGAGAAAAGUGGAAUUCCUAGUGUAGCGGUGAAAUGCGUAGAGAUUAGGAGGAACACCGGUGGCGAAAGCGGCUUUUUGGCCUGCAACUGACACUGAGGCGCGAAAGCGUGGGGAGCAAACAGG
This 429-nucleotide ribosomal RNA is filed under the name Verrucomicrobiota bacterium. RNAcentral describes it as "Verrucomicrobia bacterium partial 16S ribosomal RNA". It matches the Rfam family "Bacterial small subunit ribosomal RNA", at positions 355 to 776 of the family's 1533-position model. Lineage: Bacteria; Pseudomonadati; Verrucomicrobiota. The record is from RNAcentral.